Molecule: unclassified non-coding RNA, 364 nt
Filed under: uncultured bacterium
Lineage: Bacteria
Description: contains 16S-23S intergenic spacer region
Source: RNAcentral
UCCCGGUUGGCCCGGGCAGUCUCGUCUGAAAAAUACAACAGACGACAAGGGUUGCGCUCGUUGCGGGACUUAACCCAACAUCUCACGACACGAGCUGACGACGGCCAUGCAACACCUGUCACUAGGCUCCCGAAGGCACUCUCCUGUUUCCAAGAGAUUCCUAGGAUGUCAAGCCUUGGUAAGGUUCUUCGCGUAGCUUCGAAUUAAACCACAUAAUCCACCGCUUGUGCGGGUCCCCGUCAAUUCCUUUGAGUUUUAAUCUUGCGAUCGUACUCCCCAGGCGGGAUACUUAACGCGUUAGCUUCUCAGCACAGAGGGUCGAUACUCCAUACUAAUAGUAUCCAUCGUUUACGGCGUGGACUAC